This 210-nucleotide long non-coding RNA is filed under the name Ananas comosus (pineapple). RNAcentral describes it as "long non-coding RNA (ACOM_LNC042876)". The record is from RNAcentral. Lineage: Eukaryota; Viridiplantae; Streptophyta; Magnoliopsida; Poales; Bromeliaceae.
ACAUCAAGCUGUAAAGGAAAAAAAAAUUCCUACCAACUGCUUGUAAAUUUUUUACCGUUAGAUCUACUCCUCUGAUCAUUUUUAACCGUUAGAUUAUACUAUUUAACCAACCACCCACUCAACCCCUAGGGGACCCACAUCAUCCUAACCGCACAUCCUUUAAUCCAACGGCUAAAAAUCUACGAGCACCAAUAACUUGGUACUUUUAAA